Tripterygium wilfordii is the source of this 3128-nucleotide long non-coding RNA. RefSeq lists it as uncharacterized. The record is from RefSeq and is a predicted model, not a curated record. Lineage: Eukaryota; Viridiplantae; Streptophyta; Magnoliopsida; Celastrales; Celastraceae. The transcript has 2 exons.
AAGAGAGAGAGAGCUGAGUAAGUGAAGUGUCUCACCAUUGAAGAAAAGGGAGAUAUUGGAAGACAAGGCUUGGCAAGAGAUCAAAAGGAGUUACAAGUUCUAGUUACAAAAAGAAGGGACCGAACCCGACUUGAUUUACGACAAGCGCAAAGGAAAAGCUCUAGUUUGUGAGUAGGAAUAUUGACUAAGGUGAGGGUUCCCACCGCUAGAACAUUCUAAAUGAUUUCUAUAAAACUAUUGCUAUUAGAUAUAAAGGUAUUUUUUUUUGAAUUUAUUUCCCCAAAAAUAUACGAUGAUUUUUGUGAAUUGAUGUUGCUACAAAAAAAUCUUGAUGAAGCUUCUGGUUGGAGUUAAAAGUUGCUGAAAUGCACAUAUAUUGCCUUUAUAUUAAAUAUUUUAUACGACAUAUACAUAUAUGCUCAUGUCCGGCCGAUGUGGCAAUAAUGUUGUUGAAAUCCUCAUACAUAUGUAAGUGAAUGUAUAUAUAUAAAUAUAUAUUUAUAUACAUCUGUUUAUAUGAUAAAUACGCAUGCUAGGGGCUCGGUCAAAAAGGAACAGAUUAUAUAUUGCAUAUAUAUUUUUAUGACUAAUCUCUAUGUGUGCUUUUAAGUUAUACAUGUGAUGUCCCGAAAAUACAUAUACAUAUAUAUAUAUAUAUAUACACACAUAUUUAUACAUGUUGUUUGACCAAAUGGGUAAGUAAAGUCCUUGAAUACCUUGGAUUGAUAAAUGACAAGUUUGGUAUUUACUUGAGACUUGAAAUAUUUAUUAUGGGUUUAUUGGAAUGUGGUUUAUAAAAUGUUUUGGAACUUCAUAUUAAAUUUUGAAGUAAUACUACCUUUAAGUAUGUGUUGAAAUUCCUAUUCCACAUUCUUGGUGAAUUGUACUUGAUGGAUUAUUAUUUAGUUAUGAGUUAUCUUGUGAAAGUCGGUGCAUGUGGCAACCCCAAACCUUGGCCCGGUUGUGGGGACUAUUUGAAUUUGCAAUAUGAUGUGUUCGGGUGUGGUAGGAAGUGUUGACCCUACUCACUGCCGAUCAUAAAAGUACCACAAACUUUCUUGACAAAGAGGCUCACACGUGGUGUUCCCUCCCUACAAACCGGAGUGACGACUUCGGGAUAAACCGUACGAGGGACGCUGUCCAAUUUGUGGAUCAUAUGUGGAGGAAUUAUUGAGAAUUAUUUUAUGAUAACAUAUAUACAUGCAUAUUUUUUUAUAUACCUAUAUAUUUAUAGAUAUAUAUAUAUAUAUAUAUAUAUAUAUAUAUAUAUAUAUAUAUUUUAUUUUUUUUAUGAAGUGACAUGCAUAGAAUUUCUUUUGUCCUAGAUAUACCCGAAAAUAUUUGAUUUAGGUCUCAAUUGUUGAGUAUGACUUAUGCGAGGAAGAUUUACUUUAUAUAUUUAUUUUUGAAAAUUUAAUUGUUCUUUGGAUUAGCUUGGUUAACCCUCCUACAUGUUUUCCAUACAUGUAGAUAAUAAUAAUAAUACCAUAGUUUUUAAACCCGACCCGUGCAUCGAACCGUCAAGGCUGAAGGUUCAAGGGUUUCGAGGUUCAACCGUUAUGAUGGAGGUUGAACCGCAUAUUUUUUAAAUAAUAAAAUAAUAAAUAUUUAGUUAUAUAGUAUAUAAUUAUUAGUAAUUUAGUAUAUACUAUAUAGUAUAUAAUAUACUAAAUAAGUAUGUAACUAUAUAUACUUAAACAAUAACUUCAUUAGUUCAUUAAGCAAUAAGCCAAUAACACUACAAUUUAAUAUAUAUUAGAUAUAUUGUAUUAUAUUACAUCUAAAUAUAUUGUAUAUAAAUUUUUUUUCAGAAGUAUAUUGUAUAUACAUUAUAUAAUAUAUAUUACAUAAGAUUGUAUAAUGGAGUCUUCUAGAACUAGACUCCUAUAUAUAUUAUAAUUAGUCUAUAAUACAGUACUACUAUAAUAUUAUAUUUGGAGCUUUCUAGAUGUCUUGCUAGCUUUUUCCCUUCGUUUUCUCUUCAACAAAGAGAGAAAAUUAUAAAAAAAAACCAGACAGAGGCAUAACCGACGUUCAUCACCACCGAAAUCUCCUCAAAGUGAAAACUCUUCACUGUAGAGUUGCAGGCCCUCUCCACUUCCCUGUCGAAGUCUUUGUGCCCCCCUCUUGCUCAUGGCCUGGACUCUUGCUGCCAAUAUCACUCAUCUCUGAUCUGCAUCGCCAUCACUGAUCUACUCCAGUUUCUCCAUCUCGCUGAUCUGCUUACCCAACACCAAUGGUGUCCCUUUGUCACCAAUCUGCUUUGUCCACCAUCGUUGAUCUGCUUGUCCACCGUCAAUCUAGUCGAUCAAGCGGGUUUUCAUUAAACCGCACGGUUCACGGUUCGGUGGUUUUACGGGUUUAACUCGCGGUUGUCGACAGUUCGGUGGUUUUACGGGUUUAACUCGCGGUUGUCCACGGUUCAUUGCUUAAACGAUCAAACUACAUGAAUCGGCCCGUGUAUAUCGUCGGGUCACGGGUUUCACGGUCUGACCGGCAAGCCGAUCCAGGUCUGAAAACUAUGAAUAAUACAAGUUAAGAGGACGUGUUUGAGCUCGCACAAGGCUUGGAUGCUAUGUUUAUAUGUAUGCUGGUUUUUACUUUCAAUAAAUUGUAAGGUACAACCUAAGUAGUGAUGGUCAACUUUAUCUUGGUGAUGUAACUAAGAGACUUCGAAAUAUUGUGGUAGCUAUUAUUGAUGUUUUAGUAUGAUUCCAAGAGGUUGACGAGGGCUAUACGCGUGGACCCAAACGAAUGGGAACGCGUGGAUAGCUACCGUGCUGUGUAACCACCUCGGAUGAAGGAGAGGUGUUACACUCACAUUUGCCUCUAGUCGGGCAUUGAUGGUGGGCAUUGGCGGUCGGCCAAAGCAUCAUACGUGCAUCUCCUGUUUGAGCCAGAGAAAGAGUCGGAGAGAGACCUCCUACUAUUCAAAUAGGGAUACACGAUGACACCUUUCCAGCCUUUGCUCUCGUCAAGUGAUGGAUCGUCAGGAUUUGGGUCUGUCAAUUGCGUCCAAAGGAAGGAUGAUCUGUCGAUGGCUUCUUUACGAAGUGAACUUUGUAUUUUUCCUUUUUCAUUUGUCAUCUUACUUCGGAUCAAUAAAAGUUUAUAAUUUUGAACCUGUA